Molecule: ribosomal RNA, 445 nt
Filed under: uncultured bacterium
Lineage: Bacteria
Description: bacterial SSU rRNA
Rfam family: Bacterial small subunit ribosomal RNA
Source: RNAcentral
GAUAAACGCUGGCGGCGCACAUAAGACAUGCAAGUCGAACGGAAGUCGUUGUAAUGAAAUAGAAACGGACAGAGAACUUGUUCGAAGAAAGUGGAAGUAGACUUACAACAAUGGCUUUAGUGGCGGACUGGUGAGUAACGCGUAAGGAACCUGCCUUCUAGAGGGGAAUAACAAUGAGAAAUCAUUGCUAAUACCGCAUAUGCCGAGAGAAUCACAUGGUACAAUCGGGAAAAGAGUAAUCUGCUAGAAGAUGGCCUUGCGUCUGAUUAGAUAGUUGGUGGGGUAACGGCCUACCAAGUCGACGAUCAGUAGCCGGACUGAGAGGUUGAACGGCCACAUUGGGACUGAGAUACGGCCCAGACUCCUAUGGGAGGCAGCAGUCGGGAAUAUUGCGCAAUGGAGGAAACUCUGACGCAGUGACGCCGCGUAUAGGAAGAAGGUUUUC